AAUAUUCUUUCAGGUAAUACCAGUUCAUCUAACUAUAGCAGCAAUCUUGGAUACAAAUCACAGGUAAAUUAUGUUCAACCAGCUAACCUUAGCCUGCCAUAUAAUUCUACCCCAGGAUACAUGCAGGGACCACAACAUGAUAUACCACAUUCAACUGUACCAUAUGAAACUCCAGCUAGUCAACAAGAUGGAAACUUGAGUCUGUAGUCAUGGCAACACAAGAAAGAAGGACCAAAGUUUUUUUUUAUGACAGUUUCUCUUCAUUUUCAAUUUAGCAGUUGUAUCAAAAUCUCAAAAUUGCAUCCCUAGUCAUGUAUGGCUUAAUUGAAUUGUUAGAAAUUCAAAAUCAAGGACUUUCAAGGGAUUUAAAGUACGAUAUUUGAGAAAUACAAAGUUACAAGAUACACGUACAAAAUUGAUUUGAUUAGUCUUAUGCACAUUUCAUUACUCAAAAAUAUCCUAAGACCAAUUAACUAAAAAUAAUAUGUGUAAAAUAGACAAUAGACAAUAAAACUUCAUAGACAAUUUAGAAAUUAAUACAAACACCUUAAAAAAAAUUUAAAAGUAUAUGACACAUUUACCAAUAAAAAAGAUGUAUGUAAAAAUUUAAUGAAAAAUGUUAAUAAUUAAUAAUUAGUUUACGAGAAUUAAGAUUAAAUUGGCAUAAGUGGAGAAAUAUUAUUUUGAUGUUCAGAAUGUUUCUCUAAAUGAUUUUUAUUACUGAUCAUUAGUCAAACUCAAUUCAGAGGUAAAUAAUUAUAGCUCACUCUUGAAGCAUAAUAAUGAAGCUUGCUAUUGUUGAGGGUGGGGGAAAUAUUGUUGGGAGUAUCUGUCUAACUUAUUACAUUCCAAUAUUCAAAUAUACAAAUUUCCAUAUCAGUCACAUAGAACUUUUGAAUGCCUUGAAAAAAAUUAUUUAUACUUUGCAUUAUUAUUGGCAAGCACCAGAGGAUGUGUCUUGAAUAACAUUAGAAUGCCCGUCUGCAAGUUCAAGGUGACAAACAUAUUGUUUAAAAUACAAAAGUCAGGAGGACACAUUUUUGAAUGCCUGGAAAAUUGACAUUUUUGGUGCCCACCACCAGGGAGAGUUUUGCAAAUAAGUUGGAAUUUUUGUCUGCAAGGUCCAGGUCACAAACUUCAUUUAACUUUAUAUUCCUAUAUAUUCAAAUAUACAAAGUUUUGUCUGAUUUAGUACUUUUGAAUGUCGACAUUGAUAUUAAUGAUGUUUGAUAUGAAUCAUAGUUGUCCACCACCAGUGUAUAUGGUA
Long non-coding RNA from Mytilus californianus (California mussel), 1267 nucleotides. RefSeq lists it as uncharacterized. The transcript has 2 exons. Lineage: Eukaryota; Metazoa; Mollusca; Bivalvia; Mytilida; Mytilidae. The record is from RefSeq and is a predicted model, not a curated record.